This 374-nucleotide long non-coding RNA is filed under the name Mytilus galloprovincialis (Mediterranean mussel). The record is from RNAcentral. Lineage: Eukaryota; Metazoa; Mollusca; Bivalvia; Mytilida; Mytilidae.
AUUCAGUAUUCGAACGAGAACACAUAUGAAACUUUGCCCUCGACAGUUUUGAAUAAAACUUAACUAUUCAUAUUUAUUUAGGGGCUCAAUUAAGCAGAGGAAGUUUCCUUUGUAUUAUGAAUCUUUUAUUAUAUCGGAAAUUCGUUACCGGUUGAAUCAGCUGUUGGAUCGUUUUUUUUUACCGUCUCCCUAUCGUACGAGAACAUUAUGGUCAAUGGCAUUAUGCCUCAGUAGUUAAACAGGCCCAUUCGUUGUAGCAGGGACUUUCUAUACUAAGUAUAAUAUACUAGUAUAGAAAGUCCCUUGUUGUAGUUAUAUACAUGUCUGUUCAGCUUUCAACAGUAGGCGUUCAACAAUAUUGAAAUUCACGGUCC